RNAcentral lists this ribosomal RNA (520 nucleotides) under uncultured Glomus. Its description in RNAcentral is "SSU rRNA". It matches the Rfam family "Eukaryotic small subunit ribosomal RNA", at positions 569 to 1090 of the family's 1831-position model. The record is from RNAcentral. Lineage: Eukaryota; Fungi; Glomeromycota; Glomeromycetes; Glomerales; Glomeraceae.
AGCAGCCGCGGUAAUUCCAGCUCCAAUAGCGUAUAUUAAAGUUGUUGCAGUUAAAAAGCUCGUAGUUGAAUUUCGGGAUCAAUUAAUUGGUCAUGCUUCUGGUACGUACUGAUUUUAUUGGUUUCUCCCUUCUGACGAACCAUGAUGUCAUUAAUUUGGUGUCGUGGAGAAUCAGGACUGUUACUUUGAAAAAAUUAGAGUGUUUAAAGCAAGCUAACGCUUGAAUACAUUAGCAUGGAAUAAUGAAAUAGGACGUUUGAUCCUAUUUUGUUGGUUUCUAGGAUCGACGUAAUGAUUAAUAGGGAUAGUUGGGGGCAUUAGUAUUCAAUUGUCAGAGGUGAAAUUCUUGGAUUUAUUGAAGACUAACUACUGCGAAAGCAUUUGCCAAGGAUGUUUUCAUUAAUCAAGAACGAAAGUUAGGGGAUCGAAGACGAUCAGAUACCGUCGUAGUCUUAACCAUAAACUAUGCCGACUAGGGAUCGGAUGAUGUUAAUUUUUUAAUGACUCAUUCGGCGCCUUA